CCUACGGGUUGCACCAGUGGGGAAUAUUGGACAAUGGGCGCAAGCCUGAUCCAGCCAUGCCGCGUGAGUGAUGAAGGCCUUAGGGUUGUAAAGCUCUCUUGUCCGGGAAGAUAAUGACUGUACCGGAAGAAUAAGCCCCGGCUAACUUCGUGCCAGCAGCCGCGGUAAUACGAAGGGGGCUAGCGUUGCUCGGAAUCACUGGGCGUAAAGGGCGCGUAGGCGGACUCUUAAGUCGGGGGUGAAAGCCCAGGGCUCAACCCUGGAAUUGCCUUCGAUACUGAGAGUCUUGAGUUCGGAAGAGGUUGGUGGAACUGCGAGUGUAGAGGUGAAAUUCGUAGAUAUUCGCAAGAACACCAGUGGCGAGGGCGGCCAACUGGUCCGAUACUGACGCUGAGGCGCGAAAGCGUGGGGAGCAAACAGGAUUAGAUACCCGCGUAGUC
This 440-nucleotide ribosomal RNA is filed under the name uncultured bacterium. Its description in RNAcentral is "bacterial SSU rRNA". It matches the Rfam family "Bacterial small subunit ribosomal RNA", at positions 338 to 795 of the family's 1533-position model. The record is from RNAcentral.